Molecule: ribosomal RNA, 494 nt
Filed under: uncultured bacterium
Lineage: Bacteria
Description: partial 16S ribosomal RNA
Rfam family: Bacterial small subunit ribosomal RNA
Source: RNAcentral
GACGAACGCUGGCGGCGUGCUUAACACAUGCAAGUCGAACGGAAAGGCCUGCUUUCCCUUGUGGAUUGCGGGUACUCGAGUGGCGAACGGGUGAGUAACACGUGAGUGAUCUGCCCCCAACUUGGGUAUAAGCCUGGGAAACUGGGUCUAAUUCCCGAUAGGACUGCAGGGUGGUGCCUGUGGUGGAAAACGAUUUUCUAGUGGUUGGGGAUGAGCUCGCGGCCUAUCAGCUUGUUGGUGGGGUAAUGGCCUACCAAGGCGGCGACGGGUAGCCGGCCUGAGAGGGUGGACGGACACAUUGGGACUGAGAUACGGCCCAGACUCCUACGGGAGGCAGCAGUGGGGAAUAAUGCACAAUGGGCGGAAGCCUGAUGCAGCGACGCAGCGUGGAGGAUGACGGCCUUCGGGUUGUAAACUCCUUUCGACCGCGAGGAAGCCACCUGGUUGGAAGGGUGGUGACGGUAGUGGUAGAAGAAGCACCGGCUAACUACGUG